This 755-nucleotide ribosomal RNA is filed under the name Yersinia aldovae. RNAcentral describes it as "bacterial SSU rRNA". It matches the Rfam family "Bacterial small subunit ribosomal RNA", at positions 51 to 794 of the family's 1533-position model. Lineage: Bacteria; Pseudomonadati; Pseudomonadota; Gammaproteobacteria; Enterobacterales; Yersiniaceae. The record is from RNAcentral.
UNNCAUNCNAGUCUAGCGGCAGCGGGAAGUAGUUUACUACUUUGCCGGCGAGCGGCGGACGGGUGANUAAUGUCUGGGAAACUGCCUGAUGGAGGGGGAUANCUACUGGAAACGGUAUACUAAUACCGCAUGACCUCGCAAGAGCAAAGUGGGGGACCUUCGGGCCUCACGCCAUCGGAUGUGCCCAGAUGGGAUUAGCUAGUAGGUGGGGUAAUGGCUCACCUAGGCGACGAUCCCUAGCUGGUCUGAGAGGAUGACCAGCCACACUGGAACUGAGACACGGUCCAGACUCCUACGGGAGGCAGCAGUGGGGAAUAUUGCACAAUGGGCGCAAGCCUGAUGCAGCCAUGCCGCGUGUGUGAAGAAGGCCUUCGGGUUGUAAAGCACUUUCAGCGAGGAGGAAGGCAGUCGUGUUAAUAGCACGAUUGAUUGACGUUACUCGCAGAAGAAGCACCGGCUAACUCCGUGCCAGCAGCCGCGGUAAUACGGAGGGUGCAAGCGUUAAUCGGAAUUACUGGGCGUAAAGCGCACGCAGGCGGUUUGUUAAGUCAGAUGUGAAAUCCCCGCGCUUAACGUGGGAACUGCAUUUGAAACUGGCAAGCUANAGUCUUGUAGAGGGGGGUAGAAUUCCAGGUGUAGCGGUGAAAUGCGUAGAGAUCUGGAGGAAUACCGGUGGCGAAGGCGGCCCCCUGGACAAAGACUGACGCUCAGGUGCGAAAGCGUGGGGAGCAAACAGGAUUANAUACCCUGGUAGU